GACGAACGCUGGCGGCGUGCUUAACACAUGCAAGUCGAACGAAGAGCGUCGGAAGCUUGCUUCUAUCAAUCUUAGUGGCGAACGGGUGAGUAACGCGUAAUCAACCUGCCCUUCAGAGGGGGACAACAGUUGGAAACGACUGCUAAUACCGCAUACGAUCUAAUCUCGGCAUCGAGGAUGGAUGAAAGGUGGCCUCUACAUGUAAGCUAUCACUGAAGGAGGGGAUUGCGUCUGAUUAGCUAGUUGGAGGGGUAACGGCCCACCAAGGCGAUGAUCAGUAGCCGGUCUGAGAGGAUGAACGGCCACAUUGGGACUGAGACACGGCCCAGACUCCUACGGGAGGCAGCAGUGGGGAAUCUUCCGCAAUGGACGAAAGUCUGACGGAGCAACGCCGCGUGAGUGAUGACGGCCUUCGGGUUGUAAAGCUCUGUUAAUCGGGACGAAAGGCCUUCUUGCGAAUAGUGAGAAGGAUUGACGGUACCGGAAUAGAAAGCCACGGCUAACUACGUG
RNAcentral lists this ribosomal RNA (510 nucleotides) under uncultured bacterium. RNAcentral describes it as "partial 16S ribosomal RNA". It matches the Rfam family "Bacterial small subunit ribosomal RNA", at positions 28 to 507 of the family's 1533-position model. The record is from RNAcentral.